Molecule: long non-coding RNA, 1203 nt
Organism: Carya illinoinensis
Lineage: Eukaryota; Viridiplantae; Streptophyta; Magnoliopsida; Fagales; Juglandaceae
Exons: 4
Source: RefSeq, a predicted model, not a curated record
UCUUCCCUUUUACAGUUUCUUCCUUCCCCGAUUUCCUCUCUAUUUUCACGUGCGGUCCCUUAUUUUCUCCCCCAAAUCUCUUCUCCCCUCACUCAUUUUCUUUCAGUUAUUUCUCACCCUUUCCUGCUCUCAACUUCUUAGUAAUAUCGUGCAUCUCUCCCUCUCACGCCGCCCCACUUUCAGUGAUCUCUACGUGUUAUGAUUUUGGAGUUUUUCAUAUCUGUUUUCGUGCUCAAAUCCGCACACCGCCAAGCAUUUCAAAACGCAGUCACGUUGUCUCUCCCUUUAUCGCGUUGUUCUCUUCUCUUGGUAAAUUUUGGGUGGUUACGAGUGGUGUUAUAUUUUCCAGAUUUGGGGUUGCAGAGACCCUCACAUUUGUGGUUGUGACACUGCUAGACAAUUUCUAAACAUCGAUAAUACGCUACAAGAGUCAGGAAGUAGUUUGUCCUUUAUAUGAAGUGGAUGAAGAAUCUAUAGAACAUCUCUUUUGGGAAUGUCCUUCAGCCAAAGAUGUCUGGAGUAUGUGCAGUAAAGAUUCGGAAAUGCAGUAGUCUAGUUGGCCUAAGUUAUAUAUAUGGACAUUGUCAUACUUCUAUGUUGCGGUUUAGAUGCUGUAGAUUUUGAACAAAUUUUGAAGGAGUUUUGCAGCAGGACAGUUCACAAACAUUGUUAAGCCAAAUUGGGACAUAGCUUUGGAUAGAUAGCACAAGGAGAAAGAUCGAUCAUGGGAAUUGCAUUAUAAACAGAAAUAACAAAGGAGAUGUCUUAGCCUUUUUUUUUUUUUAUUAAAGAUGUCUUAGCUUCUUGGCUAAUACCAAAGCAUGGAAAUCCAACACUACAAGUUGCUGAAUGUUGUGGAUCUUUCUUGGCUGUAUCUUUCUGCAUGCUUGGAACUAAGAUUUGGAGAAACUAUUUUUGAAGGUAAAGCAAAAAAUGUAGUGGAAGCGAUAUAGAAAGAUGGUGAAGAUCAUAGUAGUUAAUGUGGGCAUAAUACAAGACUCUCGGUCUUUGCUAUCUGACAUACAACAAUAGAGGUUCAGACAUGUCAAAAGGGAUGUAAACCAUUUGGCACACCAUCUAGCAAACUCUGUUAUAAUAACUCUAGAAAUAUACAGUAUGUAAUCGAUCUCUUGUAUUUUCUAAUGCAAAUCAAUAAAAGUCAGUUUCUUUGUAAAAAAAGAAAAUAAGUCAGUUUCUUACAAA